GAUGAACGCUGGCGGCGUGCUUAACACAUGCAAGUCGAACGAAGCACUCUAUUUGAUUUUCUUCGGAAUUGAAGAUUUUGUGACUGAGUGGCGGACGGGUGAGUAACGCGUGGGUAACCUGCCUCAUACAGGGGGAUAACAGUUGGAAACGACUGCUAAUACCGCAUAAGCGCACGGUAUUGCAUGAUACAGUGUGAAAAACUCCGGUGGUAUGAGAUGGACCCGCGUCGGAUUAGCUAGUUGGUGGGGUAACGGCCUACCAAGGCGACGAUCAGUAGCCGACCUGAGAGGGGGACCGGCCACAUUGGGACUGAGACACGGCCCAAACUCCUACGGGAGGCAGCAGUGGGGAAUAUUGCACAAUGGGGGAAACCCUGAUGCAGCGACGCCGCGUGAACGAAGAAGUAUUUCGGUAUGUAAAGUUCUAUCAGCAGGGAAGAUAAUGACGGUACCUGACUAAGAAGCACCGGCUAAAUACGUGCCAGCCGCCGCCGUAA
This 497-nucleotide ribosomal RNA is filed under the name uncultured bacterium. RNAcentral describes it as "partial 16S ribosomal RNA". It matches the Rfam family "Bacterial small subunit ribosomal RNA", at positions 28 to 523 of the family's 1533-position model. The record is from RNAcentral.